This 480-nucleotide ribosomal RNA is filed under the name uncultured bacterium. RNAcentral's name for it is "bacterial SSU rRNA". It matches the Rfam family "Bacterial small subunit ribosomal RNA", at positions 30 to 506 of the family's 1533-position model. The record is from RNAcentral.
UUGAACGCUGGCGGCAUGCCUUACACAUGCAAGUCGAACGGUAACAGGUCUUCGGAUGCUGACGAGUGGCGAACGGGUGAGUAAUACAUCGGAACGUGCCCGAUCGUGGGGGAUAACGCAGCGAAAGCUGUGCUAAUACCGCAUACGAUCUACGGAUGAAAGCGGGGGAUCGCAAGACCUCGCGCGAUAGGAGCGGCCGAUAUCGGAUUAGCUAGUUGGUGAGGUAAAGGCUCACCAAGGCGACGAUCCGUAGCUGGUCUGAGAGGACGACCAGCCACACUGGAACUGAGACACGGUCCAGACUCCUACGGGAGGCAGCAGUGGGGAAUUUUGGACAAUGGGGGAAACCCUGAUCCAGCCAUUCCGCGUGAGUGAAGAAGGCCUUCGGGUUGUAAAGCUCUUUCGGCAGGAACGAAACGGUAAGGGCUAAUAUCCUUUGCUAAUGACGGUACCUGAAGAAGAAGCACCGGCUAACUACGU